Molecule: ribosomal RNA, 468 nt
Filed under: uncultured bacterium
Lineage: Bacteria
Description: partial 16S ribosomal RNA
Rfam family: Bacterial small subunit ribosomal RNA
Source: RNAcentral
GACGAACGCUGGCGGCGUGCUUAACACAUGCAAGUCGAACGGAAAGGCCCUGCUUUUGUGGGGUGCUCGAGUGGCGAACGGGUGAGUAACACGUGAGUAACCUGCCCUUGACUUUGGGAUAACUUCAGGAAACUGGGGCUACUAUCGUAUAGGAGCUCCUGCUGCAUGGUGGGGGUUGGAAAUUUUCGGCGGUUGGGGAUGGACUCGCGGCUUAUCAGCUUGUUGGUGGGGUAGUGGCUUACCAAGGCUUUGACGGGUAGCCGGCCUGAGAGGGUGACCGGCCACAUUGGGACUGAGAGACGGCGCAGACUCCUACGGGAGGCAGCAGGGGGGAAUAUUGCACAAUGGGCGGAAGCCUGAUGCAGCAACGCCGCGUGCGGGAUGACGGCCUUCGGGUUGUAAACCGCUUUCGCCUGUGACGAAGCGUGAGUGACGGUAAUGGGUAAAGAAGCACCGGCUAACUACGUG